CUUUCCGCACAUGCCCAUUAGGGAGGCCGGGAGUCUGCGGUGGGGCCGCGCUUGCCCGGGUUCACCGUACCCGGGACCUCCGGGUAUCCCCUGGGCGGCUCCGGGCUCCAGCGGUGCCUCCCGGCGCGGGGCACGGUCUCCCCGUAAACCACGUGUUGAGCUUAAGGACCAGAGCGGGUGAAAACGUGUGUUUCUGACAAGGGGCAAAAGGCUGUUCGGGUUCCUGGCGCUUGUCAGCUGCCCCGGGCUCUUAGCUGUCAUCUCUUAGGUGCUGAUGUGCGGGCCCCGCUGCUGCCUGGCCUCCUGCGUGCCGGUGGGCGAAGGGGAAGUUUCAUUCUGAGGGUGUUACACCCGUUACGCUGUGUGAGCAGCAGCGGCUCCGUGGUGCGGUUAUUGGUGGGCUGACUGACGUCGUCCCUCCCUGUGCAUCUCUACAGUGUCUGACCCGAGAUCUUACUGUCAUACAGAGAGCUGCCUUGCCACCAUACCUGCUUCUUCCUUCACAACAAGGUUGUGCUUGAAGGCAAGACCUGUGUUUCGUAGCUUCCAGCAUGGCCAGUGAGGGGACUGUCUGACUGAGUGGAGCUGGGCAAUGGUCACCGAUGUCCCCUGGAUCUCCCAGUUCACUGUGUCCCAGCCCAGUGGGUGCACGCCUUGUGCUUCUUGUCACUGACAGCUCACAGAGAGCACUUGUCAUUGCUACUGGCAGUGUCGUAUUACUUUUGGUCUCCAUUAAUUGACUUUUAUCAUUACUCAGAAUGAAGGGGACUAUUAAUUAUUUCAGCGGGCAGCCAUUCCUCUACAGCUACGUCAGCAAAGCCAAUGUGAGCCCAGCACAGCCCUCAGCAUGCUGAGGUUGGGGUUUGUAGGCCAGCCUGGGCUGUAGGGAGCAGCCUUGUAGCUGCUGAGCACCCCCUGGCUCCACCUGUCUUCUACAGGGAGUGUGAGGGCAGGAUUUCCAUCAAGUCUGUGUGCCACUCCCCUACAGCUUUGAAUGGCACUUUACAGAAUAGGUGAGGAUGUCUCAUCGCUCUGGAGAGUUCCCAAACUAAAUUAAGGAGAGCAGAAUGGGAAGAGAUGACCAUCCAAUGAGGUGCAGGUGCUGGGAAGCUGGAUAAGGAUGGGGAGGACAAUGUGAUUAUGUCCUUUCAAAGUGAAUGCCUCAGGGCAGCCGCUUUUGGGGACAGUGUCAAAGGGAGAUGGAGAAAGGCGUGACUCAUAGAGAAAAGCAUCUGCUCAGGGUUUAUGUCUGCUCUUGAGAGCUGAACGCUUCUUUCAGACCUGUGCAAGGAGACCAGUGCUCUGCUGCUCCCUGUGACUUGGCACUACUAACCCCUUCUCCCUUCCUAAAGGGCUCCUGUGGAAGAAAAAGCUGAGAAGUGCUGGAGGAGGGGUUCCUGAUGGGUGACUUCAGAUGAGCAUGGAGGGCCUCUGGGAAAGGAAAGGUGGCGGAGCAGCUGGGAUGGCCACAGGAGUUAACAGGGGAGCAGAGUCAAAGGUCUCCCUAAUUCCAGGCUGGAUCCUGUCGCAGAGGGAAGAUUACCCAAAAGUACUGUUCCCUUCACUGAUGCAUACAACACAGGGAUGGCAAUCUGCUUAUGAUGAAAAGGGCGUUACAGAAACACCACAGGAAAUAAAUUCAAGAUGGCUGUUUCCAUACCUCCUGAGACAGGCGACUGGCGCAAUCAGCCUUGUUGAAAUUCCUCCUCCCGUGUCUGUGAGCCCCUAGCGUUCAUCGAAUGGAAGGGAGAAAAAAGGGUACUUGGGUCACUUGAGGACUGUGCAGACUUUCCAUUACUGGAGGAUAUUAAAGGCAGCGGAAUGAAUUGGAAAGCUGUGACCCGAGCAUAGCUAAUCCCACUUUGGGGCAGAAGGAUGGAUGAGGUGUUCCUGUGAUGUCUCAGUCCACCAGUGCUAUUUUCUGUGACUCAAGAGUAGGUUAGGUGUUCCACACACAUAUCUGAUAAAGUAAAAUAGUCUGCGACUUGUGAAUGCAGAGACAUUUAUUACUGAGAUGGAAGACAGCUCCCUAGCUCACCUACAAGAGCAGAAAUCACAGGCUUGUUGGUAGUCCCUGGCACAGCAGCCAAGCUGUAGAGGCAGCACCGGUCAGUCUAUCUCUCACCUGUUAAUGCUUUGCAUUCUGACUUUGAUGCCCUUUGUAGCCUUUGCCUCGGCUUUGUGUCUCUAAAGCUGUGAGUAAAGAGAAUUAUCUAAAUAUGAAUUACAGAUGUGCAGCUCUGGGACAGCACAGUCUGACUCAGAAUUUUCUUCAUGCUGCUCUGUCACGUUUGUCCACCUGCAUCUAGAUUGCAUAUUGAGUCAUAUUGACAGUGUAGUUGGCUAUAAAGUAAGAGACCUUCAGUAAAGGACAUUAAAAAAAAUCUCUUCUAUUUUUUUUUUUUUCCCCUCAGCUUUUCAGAGUGUGUGUGUGAACUGGUAUCAGGUUGGCUACGUUCUAAACUAUCACAGAUUUUCUACAUCAUAGACAGGACAAACCACAAGCACUGGUAGAAGUACAGACCAAGGGCUGAAAGCUCCAGGAAGCAGGUUUUGCCACUUCACCCCUUACCUUUGUUUCUCUAAGAUGGGGAUGAGAAAAGUUGCUUCUCACUGGGAGUGGAGAAAGCAGAAUCAGCAAUUUAUUGGCAUGUAGGAAAUACGAUGGGACUGUUGACCUGUGUAGUAUUCAGACCAGAGAAACUUUAUUCAUAAAAUCAUUCAUAACAUUCCCUUUGUUAUGCUUUAUCAGUUGUGUUUAAGUGCUGAAAUGUGCCAAGUGAUCCUAUGAAAAGUAAAAGGGAAGUGAGUUUUAGUUACUCUGUACUCAGCCCAUUUUCAGCUUCUGAGGAAAACACAGAUCCCAUAUAACCACUGUCAUAGCCAUGCCCCAGCCUCCUUUCUCAGCACACACCAGGCAAUUUCACCAGGUAAGUGCCUGACAAGAGUUUGGCUGUACUUCUGCACUGUUUCUCUGUCACAUCUUGAGCUGCUGCUGUCCUUUCUGUCUGUCACAAGCAUAUCUUUCUCCUGCAUUGCUGUAAGUACUUAGGAAGAAGUCUGUGUCUGCCUGCCUUCAGGAGAAAAUAGAAGAUCAAUUAGGAAUUUUAAGGAGCAAACUGAACAAGCAAAACGGGAGAUAUUAAAAGCAGGAGAUUGGCUAUUGGUACAUCCCUUAUGUUAAAUGUGAUCACUAGAGCACUUAAACAGCACUUGAAAAUGCCCUGUUACUUACUUACUUACUUACCCUGCAUUGCCAAGCAGAGAGUGUGCAGGGCGGUGGCUAAAGGUUUCUGAGGGCUGUGUUAGGGUAAGGCAUUAGCCUGUCUGGUGUUCUUUUUAAGUAAUAAAAAGCUUCCAUGACAAAACAAGAAACACACAAUGCUGAAAGUAAGUCACAGGUGUGCAUUUGAUGAACAGGUGAAAUGCACAGAGCAUUGAUGGAGGGCACUUAUAGAGCACAUUUUCAGUUCAGAAGUACUAGAGAUUUAAGCAGGUGUGUAUGCAAAGU
Non-coding RNA from Coturnix japonica (Japanese quail), 3511 nucleotides. Lineage: Eukaryota; Metazoa; Chordata; Aves; Galliformes; Phasianidae. The record is from RefSeq and is a predicted model, not a curated record.